RNAcentral lists this ribosomal RNA (469 nucleotides) under uncultured organism. RNAcentral describes it as "partial 16S ribosomal RNA". It matches the Rfam family "Bacterial small subunit ribosomal RNA", at positions 335 to 796 of the family's 1533-position model. The record is from RNAcentral.
ACUCCUGCGGGAGGCAGCAGUGGGGAAUAUUGCACAAUGGGCGCAAGCCUGAUGCAGCCAUGCCGCGUGUAUGAAGAAGGCCUUCGGGUUGUAAAGUACUUUCAGCGGGGAGGAAGGCGAUAAGGUUAAUAACCUUGUUGAUUGACGUUACCCGCAGAAGAAGCACCGGCUAACUCCGUGCCAGCAGCCGCGGUAAUACGGAGGGUGCAAGCGUUAAUCGGAAUUACUGGGCGUAAAGCGCACGCAGGCGGUCUGUCAAGUCGGAUGUGAAAUCCCCGGGCUCAACCUGGGAACUGCAUUCGAAACUGGCAGGCUAGAGUCUUGUAGAGGGGGGUAGAAUUCCAGGUGUAGCGGUGAAAUGCGUAGAGAUCUGGAGGAAUACCGGUGGCGAAGGCGGCCCCCUGGACAAAGACUGACGCUCAGGUGCGAAAGCGUGGGGAGCAAACAGGAUUAGAUACCCUAGUAGUCC